UGACAUGGGGUGUAGCCCCAGCGCCAUUCCAGACAGGGGUUUAGCACUGGGGUCCUGUCCAUGCUGUGUGGGAAGCUUGGCUGUGGGUGAUGCUGGGGUGUGUGCUCCAUAGGCCAAGUCUCUUGUGGGGUUUCUUCACAGCACAAGUGCUCUUGAUGCAAGGAACAGCAGAAAUAGGUUUGAGAUUCACCCUCUACAGUAUAUACUUAGCUCUGCGGUUUCUUCAGAGGGAGGCUGUUGUCGCAUGUGUAGGAGAUGUACAAACAGAUUGAUGCAGUUACCCAAUUAAGACUUCUGGCAGUCUUUGACAGCAUAAAGAGAUGUCAAGUGUGGCUGAUACAUCCAUCAGGCUGUAUACUGACCUUUAGGAGUUGUAUUUACCUACAAGUUCCCAGAAGAGAUCUGCUUUCCUUUGACAUGUUUUCCAGCUACUGCUGUGUGGAUGACUGCCUUGCAAAACUGAGAGAGCUCGGCCAUAGAGGCAGCAAAUCAGAGUGGAACGAAACCUGAGCAAAUCCAAAUCAUGCUCCAUGGCCAGAGAUCACCUUAUAUGGGAACAUCAAGGGCAAGAAGAGGAGUAUGUCCAGAUGAGUUGCUGAGGUCAGAUCCCAGACAGAGGAAAGAUGUUAAUGUGAAAACAAGAGCAUUUAGGAAGAGAAGACAGCACUUAUUCCUGCUUUUCUUCUACAAUCUGAGCCAUCUUGUUUGUCUCUCUUAUUAUAAAUAGUACUAUGUGUAUGUAUACAUAACAGUAAGUCUGACUGUUAUAUUAAAAAUCGAUUUCUCUGUGGCUCUUCUAGCAGCAAAAUGUAUCCCAGGUCUGUUCCUAGUUCUCACUUGCAGCUUUUUCAAUUCUUAUUCCGUAGCAGGAUUCUGCUUGCUGAAGUGGCACUGAUACC
Long non-coding RNA from Neopsephotus bourkii (Bourke's parrot), 899 nucleotides. RefSeq lists it as uncharacterized. The transcript has 3 exons. NCBI's taxonomy places the organism in Eukaryota, Metazoa, Chordata, Aves, Psittaciformes, Psittacidae. The record is from RefSeq and is a predicted model, not a curated record.